This 543-nucleotide ribosomal RNA is filed under the name uncultured Jeotgalicoccus sp. Its description in RNAcentral is "bacterial SSU rRNA". It matches the Rfam family "Bacterial small subunit ribosomal RNA", at positions 63 to 588 of the family's 1533-position model. Lineage: Bacteria; Bacillati; Bacillota; Bacilli; Caryophanales; Staphylococcaceae. The record is from RNAcentral.
CGGACGCAAGAUCAGGAGCUUGCUCCUGUGAUUUGAGCGGCGGACGGGUGAGUAACACGUAGGCAACCUACCCUUGAGAUUGGGAUAACUACCGGAAACAGUAAGCUAAUACCGGAUACGACCUUUCCACAUAAGUGGAAUUGUUAAAAGCGGAUUUAUCUGCCGCUCAUGGAUGGGCCUGCGGUGCAUUAGCUAGUUGGUGAGAUAGUAGCUCACCAAGGCGACGAUGCAUAGCCGACCUGAGAGGGUGAUCGGCCACACUGGGACUGAGACACGGCCCAGACUCCUACGGGAGGCAGCAGUAGGGAAUCUUCCGCAAUGGACGAAAGUCUGACGGAGCAACGCCGCGUGAGUGAUGAAGGGUUUCGGCUCGUAAAACUCUGUUGUUAAGGAAGAAUACUUGAGGUAGUAACUGGCCUUGAGGUGACGGUACUUAACCAGAAAGCCACGGCUAACUACGUGCCAGCAGCCGCGGUAAUACGUAGGUGGCAAGCGUUAUCCGGAAUUAUUGGGCGUAAAGCGCGCGUAGGCGGUAAAAUAAGU